GCCGAGGUAGCCUAGCCAGGCAAGGCGGUGGAUUCGAGAUCCACUGGGCUCUGCCCUCGGGAGUUCAAAUCUCCCCCUCGGCGCUA
This 86-nucleotide transfer RNA is filed under the name Aciduliprofundum boonei T469. RNAcentral's name for it is "tRNA-Ser". It matches the Rfam family "tRNA". Rfam says of the family: Transfer RNA (tRNA) molecules are approximately 80 nucleotides in length. Their secondary structure includes four short double-helical elements and three loops (D, anti-codon, and T loops). Further hydrogen bonds mediate the characteristic L-shaped molecular structure. tRNAs have two regions of fundamental functional importance: the anti-codon, which is responsible for specific mRNA codon recognition, and the 3' end, to which the tRNAs corresponding amino acid is attached (by aminoacyl-tRNA synthetases). tRNAs cope with the degeneracy of the genetic code in two manners: having more than one tRNA (with a specific anti-codon) for a particular amino acid; and 'wobble' base-pairing, i.e. permitting non-standard base-pairing at the 3rd anti-codon position. Lineage: Archaea; Methanobacteriati; Thermoplasmatota. The record is from RNAcentral.